CUCAUCAUCCAACUUCAGAGAAUCAACUGGCUAGCACCUUGGAGCACCUGCUAUGGUAACGGCUCCUCUGCUAAUGCUUCUGGGAGACAGCUUCAUACGGCCAGCGCCAGGAGGCGAGAGGAGAGGAAAGGAAGUCUUCUCUUCACGCCCUCCUGGGGCCCGUCUUGGCGUUGUGUGUGGUGGAGGGGGACGAAUCUGGGGUCCGCAGUCGCAGCCUCCUCUUGCUGCUGCCGCCUUCAUCCCCGAAAUCCUGCUCCUAACCAUCAAUAGGAACCCUGAAAAAAGUUAGAGGUGUGAAGUGCACACAUAACCCUGGGCCACAAACUCGGUCCCGGACGCCACAGGACAAUCGCUCACCCGGACCACACAUCCUGGCCGGAAGAUGGGCGGGUACCGCGGCU
Molecule: long non-coding RNA, 401 nt
Filed under: Pan troglodytes (chimpanzee)
Lineage: Eukaryota; Metazoa; Chordata; Mammalia; Primates; Hominidae
Description: long non-coding RNA NONPTRT015054
Source: RNAcentral